AUCACUUCUCGGCCUUUUGGCUAAGAUCAAGUGUAGUAUCUGUUCUUAUCAGUUUAAAUUAUAGCCAGUACAUGUUUUGAUCAUGAGAAAAUGAACCUAGAAAUUAAU
Molecule: small nuclear RNA, 108 nt
Organism: Oryctolagus cuniculus (rabbit)
Lineage: Eukaryota; Metazoa; Chordata; Mammalia; Lagomorpha; Leporidae
Gene: U2
Rfam family: U2 spliceosomal RNA
About the family: U2 is a small nuclear RNA (snRNA) component of the spliceosome (involved in pre-mRNA splicing). Complementary binding between U2 snRNA (in an area lying towards the 5' end but 3' to hairpin I) and the branchpoint sequence (BPS) of the intron results the bulging out of an unpaired adenosine, on the BPS, which initiates a nucleophilic attack at the intronic 5' splice site, thus starting the first of two transesterification reactions that mediate splicing.
Source: Ensembl